RNAcentral lists this non-coding RNA (23 nucleotides) under Arabidopsis thaliana (thale cress). The record is from RNAcentral. Lineage: Eukaryota; Viridiplantae; Streptophyta; Magnoliopsida; Brassicales; Brassicaceae.
UUCUCAGCUUUCACCCCCGGACU